Molecule: long non-coding RNA, 2340 nt
Organism: Setaria italica (foxtail millet)
Lineage: Eukaryota; Viridiplantae; Streptophyta; Magnoliopsida; Poales; Poaceae
Exons: 2
Source: RefSeq, a predicted model, not a curated record
CUUGCUCUGCUUGUCCAGACGAAAUCGGCCGGCCGCCCGGGAUGCACGCCGCGCGUCGCCCAUCCGCCGCCGGUGGGCGUCCUUGCGCCCACGCUCCCGACGACCGCGCCGCAAGGUCUCCUCGCAGUCAACCCGACGGGACGACCGCCCAUACCGUGCCCAUGCCGCGGCGUCGCGUCGUCCCUGCUCGCUCGUCCUCGGCCGUCCUCCCAGCACUGCUCGCGCGUCCUUGCAUCGUACUCGCCAUCCCCAUCCUCCUCGGCCGGCCCAUCUCCACGCGCCCAGCGCACACCCGGCGCACACCCACGCUCUCCUCCCCACCGAGCAAAUCCAAGAAAGCAGUUAUGUGCUCUUCUCCUUCCAUCGCAAGCACCAGAAGCCUGGGCUCUUCUUUUCCCUUCUCUGCUCAGUUCCUCUCCACCGAGCGGAGCAAGCAAAUUAGCACUGCCUCCCUCCAAAUCGUGAAACACCAGGGCACCUCUUUCAAAACCGUGCCGUGCUUUGGUUGCACGCGUCUCCGCGGCGAGUGCUGCUGGCCGGAGUUCGCGGACCCCGGCACGGGAGCCAUUCCUGCAGCGGCACCAUCAGACCUGCGCCGACUCAUCCUCGACACCCAGCCGCCAUCGGCAACCUCAACACAUGGCUCUCGUCCACCCCCACUAGCACGCCUGCAACUUGUUCGACGAUAUGCCCCAACCAGGAGCUGCAACCACGACCGUGCUGAGCUGCUGUCUUCUACCUCUUCACCAAGCUGCAUCAACCCCGCCGCCUAAGGAGCAGCGUUGUGGUUGUGGAGUUCUCUUGGUGUGCUGGUGCUCCUCCCCGGCGCUGCAGCACAGCCACACGCAACAAGCAGGAACUGCAGAGGAGCAGGUGCAGGAGGAGUCCUAGCACAAGCAGCCAGAAGACCCAGCCCAAGGUCCGGAGGGGCCAAGGCCUUGAUAGUGCUAACACCGAGCAGUAGAAAAGCAAGCCCUGGAGUAACCUUUAUUUUCAAAACCAUGCAAUGUUUUAUUCAAGUAUUGUGCAUUUACGUUUUCAAGUUGAAUGAAACAAUAGAUGCAUGAUCCAUAGUUUCCCAUGGUUAUACUAGUAUGUGUAGGUCGCUACCUCCACCAUGCUAAUUAAGUUCGGUAGAAAUUAGGUGAUUGUUUGUCACUCGCGAGAGAUAAGGUCUCUGGAUGCUUAUACUUGUUCUAUGGAUAAAUAGUUCACAUGGUAAAGUGAGAGAAUGGACGGAGAGGAUUUGGUUAAGGAUAUGACAUGGAUUGAAAGAGUAGCUCCGCCUGUGUCAAUUAAGGCUCGUUCGUUGUGGCACAGUUGAUCAAGUUUGAACAAUACUAAUCACAUGCUGGGAGUAGGAGGUAGUCGAAACUAGUAAACUGAUGUAGCUUGUGUCACUCCAGAAUUUGAACUAUGCGAGCUCCUCUUGGCGUGGGAUGAGGGCAGGGGAAAGGACCUAUAACCCACCGAUGACCGAGUUGCUUGCAGUGUCGUGAUGGGGGUUGACCUUGUAAUGGAAAAAGAAGUGCUUCGAAUCAUUGCUAUUUGACUCGAACCUAUUCUGAAAAAGUUGAGGUAUUUCAAAUUGUUGACACGGACAAAGCCGGGAGUUGCAAACAUAGUUUAGAUGUUCGGUGGUGUACUCAUGAAAAGUUGCCACGUGUGACCUCCGGGUGUGCACGUGUCGUGUGAUUAGGUUUUCCUUGCAAAGAUUAAAUCAAAUCGAUUCGCCGUACCUCUCGAAUAAGAGACCCUUGAUCUCUGUCUCAUCGUAGCAAAGAAGUGGAAUAUGGUGAUGAUAAUUUCUAUUGUUAUGCUAAUCAAUUGUUUUUCCAUACUAAAGUGUUGUAGUUCCACGGACUUAGAGAAUAUCUGCUCUCACAUUAAAAUGUGGUUAAAAUAUUGAAAGUAAGGAUCAACUAUUAGUAUCUUUUUGGCAAAGCAAAUCCUAGAGCCAAAAGCUUUGCAUACUAGAAGUCGGCUAAGUAUAUACCAUAGUCGGGUAAGUCUUGCUCAGUAUUAGUAUACUUAAGGCCUGUUACUUAAAUUAUUUCAGGAGGCCCCGCUUCUCUAUGAUGUCAUACUGGUGGGCUUGAUGUGAUGUCUUCCUCUCAUCAUCGUUAUCACUUUAGAGUUAGUGAUCGGUAUUUGUGUUUUAAACUGGAUUUUCGAUGUACCUUUGAAAUCUAGUAUUAUUCAUCUAUUUAAUUUUUUUUGUAAACUUUUAUAGCAUCCUUGUGUUGUAUCAUUUAUUUUGAAGUAAAAGUUGCCUGUUUGUACUAUCUGCGCUCACGUAAAACCUUUACGUGAGAUUACUAGUGUUUGUUUCGAUCCGUA